Molecule: ribosomal RNA, 437 nt
Filed under: uncultured Oscillibacter sp.
Lineage: Bacteria; Bacillati; Bacillota; Clostridia; Eubacteriales; Oscillospiraceae
Description: partial 16S ribosomal RNA
Rfam family: Bacterial small subunit ribosomal RNA
Source: RNAcentral
ACGGGAGGCAGCAGUGGGGAAUAUUGGGCAAUGGGCGAAAGCCUGACCCAGCAACGCCGCGUGAAGGAAGAAGGUCUUCGGAUUGUAAACUUCUUUUAUGAGGGACGAAGGACGUGACGGUACCUCAUGAAUAAGCCACGGCUCACUACGUGCCAGCAGCCGCGGUAAUACGUAGGUGGCGAGCGUUAUCCGGAUUUACUGGGUGUAAAGGGCGCGUAGGCGGGGAUGCAAGUCAGAUGUGAAAUCUAUGGGCUUAACCCCUAAACUGCUUUUGAAACUGUAUCCCUUGAGUAUCGGAGAGGCAGGCGGAAUUCCUAGUGUAGCGGUGAAAUGCGUAGAUAUUAGGAAGAACACCAGUGGCGAAGGCGGCCUGCUGGACGACAACUGACGCUGAGGCGCGAAAGCGUGGGGAGCAAACAGGAUUAGAUACCCUGGUA